This 603-nucleotide ribosomal RNA is filed under the name Zygaena hilaris escorialensis. RNAcentral's name for it is "partial 12S ribosomal RNA". The record is from RNAcentral. Lineage: Eukaryota; Metazoa; Arthropoda; Insecta; Lepidoptera; Zygaenidae.
UGCGGUUAUACAAAAAUUAAAUUGAAUUUUUUUAGGAUUUAAUAAGUAAAUGUUAAUUUAAUAAAUUAAAUUUUAAGUUAUAAGGUGAAAUUUUAGCUUAAUUAAAUUUUAUUUUUUUUUAUUAUAUUAAUAAAUUUUAUAAAAAACUAGGAUUAGAUACCCUAUUAUAAAAAUUUAAAUUUAACAAUCUUAAAAUAGUAUAUAAUUUUUUAUAGAAACUUAAAUAAUUUGGCGGUAUUUUAGUUCAUUUAGAGGAAUCUGUCUAAUAAUUGAUAAUCCACGAUUAAAUUUACUUAAUUUACAAUUUUGUAUAUCGUUGUUAAAAAAAUAUUUUUAAAUAAUUAUAAUAUUUUAAAAUUUAAAAAUAAACUUAAAUCAGAUCAAGAUGCAGAUUAUAAUUAAGAAUAUGAUGGAUUACAAUAAGUUUUAUUUGUUGGAUAUUAGUUUGGAAUAAAUUAAUUGAAAUUGGAUUUAAAUGUAAUUUUAUUGAUUUAAUUAAAAUGAUUAAUAAUUAAAAUAUGUACAUAUUGCCCGUCGCUUUCAUUUAUAAAUUGAAAUAAGUCGUAACAAAGUAGAGGUACUGGAAAGUGUUUCUAGAAAGAG